This 560-nucleotide ribosomal RNA is filed under the name uncultured bacterium. RNAcentral describes it as "bacterial SSU rRNA". It matches the Rfam family "Bacterial small subunit ribosomal RNA", at positions 65 to 620 of the family's 1533-position model. The record is from RNAcentral.
AACGGCAGCACGGGGGUAACCCUGGUGGCGAGUGGCGAACGGGUGAGGAAUACAUCGGAACGUAUCUUUAAGUGGGGGAUAACGCAUCGAAAGGUGUGCUAAUACCGCAUAAUCUCUGAGGAGAAAAGCAGGGGAUCGCAAGACCUUGCGCUUUUGGAGCGGCCGAUGCCUGAUUAGCUUGUUGGUGAGGUAAAAGCUCACCAAGGCUUCGAUCAGUAGCUGGUCUGAGAGGACGACCAGCCACACUGGGACUGAGACACGGCCCAGACUCCUACGGGAGGCAGCAGUGGGGAAUUUUGGACAAUGGGGGAAACCCUGAUCCAGCCAUGCCGCGUGAGUGAAGAAGGCCUUCGGGUUGUAAAGCUCUUUCAGCCGGAACGAAACGGUUACGGUUAAUACCCGUGACUACUGACGGUACCGGAAGAAGAAGCACCGGCUAACUACGUGCCAGCAGCCGCGGUAAUACGUAGGGUGCGAGCGUUAAUCGGAAUUACUGGGCGUAAAGCGUGCGCAGGCGGUUUUGUAAGUCAGAUGUGAAAUCCCCGGGCUUAACCUGGGAA